This 253-nucleotide ribosomal RNA is filed under the name uncultured bacterium. RNAcentral's name for it is "partial 16S ribosomal RNA". It matches the Rfam family "Bacterial small subunit ribosomal RNA", at positions 524 to 776 of the family's 1533-position model. The record is from RNAcentral.
UACGGAGGGUGCAAGCGUUAUCCGGAUUCACUGGGUUUAAAGGGUGCGUAGGCGGGAAGGUAAGUCCGCGGUGAAAUCUCACGGCUCAACCGUGAAACUGCCGUUGAUACUGCUUUUCUUGAGUUCGGGAGAGGUUGAUGGAAUUCCAGGUGUAGCGGUGAAAUGCGUAGAUAUCUGGAAGAACACCAGUGGCGAAGGCGGUCAACUGGCCCGUAACUGACGCUGAGGCACGAAAGCGUGGGGAGCGAACAGG